Molecule: ribosomal RNA, 379 nt
Filed under: uncultured organism
Description: bacterial SSU rRNA
Rfam family: Bacterial small subunit ribosomal RNA
Source: RNAcentral
CAGAGACCUCAAGCGUUAUCCGGAAUCAUUGGGCGUAAAGCGUACCGAUAGGUGGUUUGGAAAGUCAGCUGUGAAAUUCCAGGGCUCAACCCUGGAACUGUCAGCCGAAACUUCUAAACUAGAGGGGCAAAGAGGAAGCUGGAACGAACGGUGUAGUAGUGAAAUGACGUUGAUAUCGUUCGGAACACCAAUAGCGUAGGCAGGCUUCUGGGUGCCACCUGACACUGCUAGGACGAAAGCGUGGGGAGCGAAUGGGAUUAGAUACCCCAGUAGUCCACGCUGUAAACGAUGUACAUUAGGUGCUAGGGAGUAUCGACCCUCUUUAGUGCCAUAGCUAACGCGUUAAAUGUACCGCCUGGGGACGUAGGCCGCAAGGCUA